GUCAUGAAGAAAUAAAAGCUUAAAAUCCUUUCUCCUGCUAUUUGUAAAAUUCAUACUCUAGAAAGAGGUAGAUUGUUUUUCCUAGGGCUUUGAGUAUCCCUGACACUCUGCCCAUCCUCUAUGGGUACAGAUACUGCAGUUUGGGAAGUGCCAAUGGAAGAAGCAGAAAGAGUUGGAGGAGACAAGGAGGUCCACCUGAAGACCUCUUAAAAGAGGAGAAGAGAACUUAUUCUUUCCCCAGCACUAGACAGAAUGUCAGACAUCUGGAUGAGUGUGGCUUCAGGCAGAACAAAGUUACUCGGGUGAAGAGACUCAGGAGAUUAACACAAAUGGAGGGAUGGGAUCCAAUAAAGCUAUAGGCUUAGCUCUCCUGAAGGCAUGCAGAAACUGGGAGGCAAAGGCCAGCAGAAAGGUGGGCCAAAGUGACACACAGUCAUUUCCUCCCCUCUCCUGUCCCUGCUAUUCUAGGUGGUGUGUGCAGGAACUGAUGAAGUGGCUAUAAUAUCGCUUGUGAUUGUUGGGAAGCCUAAGAUUUAUGAGAGUCCACACUGAAGAGGUGAACCAGGUUGGAUCCAAGCUUGAUACAAAGAAAGUAAAACACAGCAAGUUGCUCACUGUGCCCAAGGAUGUCCUCUCUAUCCCAGGCUGGCUGGGCCACCCCCCCCCCCCAUCUGUAAUGCUUGCUUCUCAGCAAGGGCUUGUCCUGGAGCUAGGGAAGACCCUGAGCAAAUCAGUGCACUAUUUCUGGAUGUCAGGUGAGUUCCAUGACUCACACUCUUCAACCAAAGCCCAUUAAUCAAGUCUGAUGACUCAAUAUUCUUUUGACACAAACAUGCCAAGUGCAAUGUGAUCCCUCACAAACAUUUCUACUUCCCAUAUGCCAGGGUAGUAACCUCUGGGGAAGAGAGGAGAAUUAAACCUUUCUCUAAACAAAGGCAUUAUCCUUUGGUAAAAUCAAAGACAGAAGCUAGGAUCCAAGUGUCUUCUGUGCUGGAGAUGCCAAUCAUUUCCUCCCUGUCUCCAAGCUUUGCCUAGAACCUUGCCUGAAGAUCCUGCCUGCUCACACUACAGCAGCAGAGGCACCAUGGCCCUAGAGACCUAUCUCAAAGGGAGCAGCUGAUCAGUCCGUGAGGACCCUAGCUUUACACAGAGGAAUAGGCAACCACACUCAGCCCAAGGUCACAAAGACCCAGAAGUAAGAGCUAUUGACAUAGGGAACCAGUUUGACCUGCUCUCCAGAGACCCCCUAAAGAAUCCAGAGCAGCAUCAAGUGAUCCCACUGUUCCAGGGACAGAUGAUGACAGAGCAUAUUACUUACAUUCCUGUGAUGAGGACAAAAUACCCAACACGCAGCACUGAAAAGAGGUGAGGUUUAUUUUGGCCCAUGGUUUUAAUCCUUGGAGCCUAACUGGCUCCAAAGCAAAAACAGCAUGGGAGAAGGGCAUGGUGGAGGAAAGCUGCUCAACCCAUGGUGGCAGCCAGGAAGAGUGCACGUGAAUGCGUGCGCGCACACAUACACACCACACACACAGAGAGAGACAGAGAGACAGAGAAUAUGAAAGAGAAACAGAGAGAAACCAGGGAUAAGAAUACAUCAUUCUAGGUCAUGCUCACAGUGACUCACCUCUUCCAACCAGGCCCCACCUCCUAACAGCACAUUCAGCUAUUAACUCAAUUAAUCCACUGAUGAGUAUAGCACCCUCACAUCCAAUCACAUUCUGAAAGAGGCCCCACCUCUGACACAUGAGGCCUUUGGUGGAUAUUUCAAAUCCAAACUGUAACACAGAUGCUUUCCUGUUGUCUGGAUGAGUCUAGCUGUUCUUUCCUCUCUGGUCCUGAAAAAUGCCCCUGGACCCUUAGAUAAAUUACUCUUCACUUUUGUAAGCUUGAGGGGUUUGUAUGUCUUGCAACCAAACACUCUUAAUUAAGAAGCCUACUGUGCACAAUACUAGGUGGUAUCAGGGAGGCAAGAGUGUUUGACAUCAGUAGGUACUUUGUCCUUUUUCUUCCCAUGUCUUCUAUUUCCCCAUACAUACUUGCAUCCGCAUUUAUUUAAUGUCCUCUUUCACUUAUCAGGUCACGUAAGAACUUAAUUAUUGCCCUCUUGUUUUUGACACUGGUGAUCAAACCCAGGGGCUCUCUACCACUGUAUUACAUCCUCAUCCCCUUUAAAAAAAAUUUUUUUGAAGGCAAGGUCUCACAAAGCAGUUCAGGUGGAACUUGAACUUGCAAUCCUUCUGCCUCAGCCUCCCAAGAUGCUGGGAUUAUAGGUAGAUUCUUGUUCACUCGAAGUUGGUAAGACUCUAGAGUUGUUCAAGCUUCAUGUGCCACCCAAGUUGAAGGUGAUGUGAGGGUUCAGAAAGUAGGAAUCCAGAGGAAGAGACACAAUAUUGAAAGUAGAAUCCAGUAACUUGCACAUACUAAGCAAGUACUCUACCACUGAGCUCCCCUCCAGACUCUGAAAGGCCUGCUUCUGCUGAGAAAAUCUUUCAUUCUCAACUCCAGAUGCCAGAGUUAAAGCCUCACAGGUUGACAGAGAUGAUCCCUUGGGUUUCCAGAAUUUGGCAGAACAGCUGACGCACUGAUCCUGUCAAUCUCUACUCUCACAGUGAAUCAUUUACAUCUGAGAAGCCCUUGCCUUGACCUUAUAAAAUCAGUAUGUUUCAAUAAUUCUGAAUCAUCUCAAAAAUGGAAUAAUUAGCUUUUAAAUUAAAAAAUCCAAAUAAACAAGUGGUUAGAGAGCACAUCAAAAGUAUUUAAAUAAUAAGUCCUAGCCAAGAAGAUGUAAUCUAUUAUUGUCUUCCCUUGGAUCAAAGAAUACCUACUACCAGAAUGAAGGACUGUGUCCCAAAAGCAGAUUAAAGUUUUUAUCUUCUGCAGACUGAAAAUUGCUGAUAACUUCUAAAAGACAAGAAACAAAACCACAGCUGUUAAACGUCCUGUUGUUACAUGGUGACCAACAAUGCACAUCUGCACACCACGUACAGUCCUUGCUGGUGUUGCAGUUCAUCUGCCCCUCUUACUGCACCUCCUCUACUCUCUGAGCCUGCUACAGUCCUUCAGUUCACUUAGCAAUCUGUAGGAGUCUUGUCGCAAACACCAAAUACUUAUUAAGAGUGGAGGAACCAUUGCUAUUUAUAUGGUGUGUAGUGGGGGCUUCAAUUAUCAUCCCUCCCCUGUAUCCAUUCUCCCAUUUUGUGAACAAUAACAAAAUCCCCAAUAGUUUUCUGAAUUUCCAUGCCUUCCUUGUAGUUAGAUGUGAACACUGAUGACUUUCUGGCCAAUGGCUUGUGAACAGAUGUGAUGAUGAGUCCACUCACCAAGUUGUGUCUGUGAAACAAAGGGGGGUACCUCUUUGUCCCUUCUCUUUCCAUGGGAAAAGAAGCUUGGAAGGAGGGAGUCCCCUAGGGAAACCAAGCAGCAAAAUCAAGAAAAUCUGGAUUUCUGACUCCUUUACCCAGGGGCAGAAGUUCCCAGAUGUUCGCAUUUCACAGUGCAGAGUCUGUAAUGUAAUUUUUCUCAUUGUUUUUGGGUCAAAGUAAUGCAUAAAAAUUCUGUUUUUUAAGUAGUUGUAUUUAAACAAUUUAAUAUGUAUUUCUACCAUAAUGACUUAGAAGCCAUUUAAAAAUUAAUACAAAUAAAUUAAGAAAAAAAAUACUGAUUUCCAUUUUUAAGUAGCCAUAUCUCUUACAUGUAGGAGUAAGGUGUAUGCACUUGUUGGGCACUGCAUAACUUCUCAAACGUUGGCAUCACAUUGGACAAACAAUGCUGUUAUUUACUUGCAUUUUCUCAGAAGAGCAACC
Heterocephalus glaber (naked mole-rat) is the source of this 3803-nucleotide long non-coding RNA. The record is from Ensembl. NCBI's taxonomy places the organism in Eukaryota, Metazoa, Chordata, Mammalia, Rodentia, Bathyergidae.